Molecule: long non-coding RNA, 865 nt
Filed under: Spirodela polyrhiza (greater duckweed)
Lineage: Eukaryota; Viridiplantae; Streptophyta; Magnoliopsida; Alismatales; Araceae
Description: long non-coding RNA (SPOL_LNC000098)
Source: RNAcentral
AAACCCCCUAAUUUCUCCUCCUCCUCUGUUCUAAAUUUGCUAUCAAAUUUAUCUGAUAAUUCCGAUCUCUUCCGAGACAAUAAUUCGACCCAUUUUGACUUCUGACUUCCCCAAAAGUAAGCUAUAUCUAGAAGUCAACGGCACCACCGCUUCGAUGAUCUUCAUGGGGAUUUAUUGGAAAGCUCUCAUUUUUGGGCUGGAAUCCUAAUCCCUGCCCCGAAUUGGGUACUGCGUUGCCACAAUCAUAAAAUUCCGAGUUCUUCCGAGACAAUGAUUCGCCCAUUUUGACUUCUGACUAACCCAGAAGUAAGCUAGAUUGGGGGAAGUCAACCGCACCACAGCUUCCAUAAUCUUCACGGGAAUUCAUCAGAAAGCUCCCAUUUUUGGGUUGGAAUCCUAAUUCCUGCACCGAAUCGGGUACUGGGUUGCCACAAUCAGAGAAUUCUGUGUUCUUCCGAGACAAUCAUUCGCCCAUUUUCACUUCUGACUAACCCAGAAGUAAGCAAGAUUGGGGGAAGUCAACCGCACCACAGCUUCCAUAAUCUUCAAGGGAAUUCAUCAGAAAGCUCCCAUUUUUGGGCUGGAAUCCUAAUCCCUACCCCGAAACGGGUACUGGGCUGUCACGAUUUCUCCUUUUUUUUGGUGGGUAGGGGGAUAAUUUUCUGUCAAAAUCCUCAAUAUUAAUAUUGCUAUUAUUCGUCAGCGCCAUAUUGUGCCUCUGUGCUCAUAUCAUCAUCAUCAGACUAUUAUUAUUAUUAUUAUUAUUAUCAUCAUCAUCAUCAUCAAUAUUUUUUUCUUGAAUGAAAAAUGUGCUGUGGAUGGGGUUUUUCAGGGUGAUCCGACCUACCUGGUGGUGGAGAACGAC